Molecule: ribosomal RNA, 87 nt
Filed under: Microdochium bolleyi
Lineage: Eukaryota; Fungi; Ascomycota; Sordariomycetes; Xylariales; Microdochiaceae
Source: RNAcentral
CCCGUCCGCUCCCCUGUACACAAGCUCGAUACCGCCGGAUCAGUAGUUGGGUCGGUGACGACCAGCGAAUCCCCGGUGUUGUAUGUU